This 197-nucleotide microRNA precursor is filed under the name Oryza rufipogon (brownbeard rice). RNAcentral's name for it is "MIR812 microRNA precursor family". It matches the Rfam family "MIR812 microRNA precursor family". The record is from Rfam by way of RNAcentral. Lineage: Eukaryota; Viridiplantae; Streptophyta; Magnoliopsida; Poales; Poaceae.
AAAAAAUACAGUUUUGCAUUAUUCAUAUCCAACGUUUGACUAUUCGUUUUAUUUGAAUUUUUUUUAUAAUUAGUAUUUUUAUUAUUAUUAGAUGAUAGAACAUAAAUAAUACUUUAUAUGUGACUAUUUUUUUAUAAAUUUUUUAAAUAAGAUGGAUAGUCAAAUGUUGGACACGGAUACCCACGGCUGCACUUAUU